AUUGAACGCUGGCGGCAGGCCUAACACAUGCAAGUCGAGCGAGCGGCGGACGGGUGAGUAAUGUAUGGGGACUGCCCGAUAGAGGGGGAUAACUACUGGAAACGGUGGCUAAUACCGCAUACUAUCGGAUAACCCAUAUGGGAUUAGCUAGUAGGUGUGGUAAAGGCUCACCUAGGCGACGAUCUCUAGCUGGUCUGAGAGGAUGAUCAUCCACACUGGGACUGAGACACGGCCCAGACUCCUAGGGAGGCAGAAGUGGGGAAUAGUGCACAAUGGGGGCAAGCCUGAUGCAGACAUGCCGGGUGGAUGAAGAAGGCCUUAGGGUUGUAAAGUACUUUCAGAGGGAAGGCGUUACCCGAAGAAGAAGCAACGGCGAACUCCGUGCCAGCAGCCGCGGUAAUUC
This 403-nucleotide ribosomal RNA is filed under the name uncultured bacterium. RNAcentral's name for it is "partial 16S ribosomal RNA". It matches the Rfam family "Bacterial small subunit ribosomal RNA", at positions 30 to 526 of the family's 1533-position model. The record is from RNAcentral.